This 119-nucleotide ribosomal RNA is filed under the name Pteropus alecto (black flying fox). Lineage: Eukaryota; Metazoa; Chordata; Mammalia; Chiroptera; Pteropodidae. The record is from RNAcentral.
GUCUAUGGCCAUGCUACUCUGAACAUGCCCCAUCCAGUCUGAUCUCAGAAGCUAAGCAGGAUCAGGCCUGUUUAGUACUUGGAUGGGAGACCACCUAGGAAGACCAGGUGCUGUAGGUG